CAGGUGUCCAGCGCGCCCCCUUCCUUACCCUCCCUCCUCUUGCAUUAAGCUCCCUUGUCUGUGAGACCCUCUGGGAGGUUUGCUGGGCUGAGAUGAGCCGCCCCGGCCACGGCCUGCCUGCUCACACCUCUCCAGCUUCCAGGGUUGCCACUCCGUCCGUCCGUCCAUCACUCCUCACCUCCAGGACAGGUUGUGCAACCUGAGACCCCAACUCCCUUGUCCCUGCGCGCACCCUUCUCGGGGGAACCCCUCGUGCCUUCUGCGUGCUGCUCAUUAAUCGUGUUGGGGGCGUCUUGGAGCCUCUGUGUGGAGUUCUGUAAAUAUGAUGGGUUCACACAAGGAAGUGAUUUUGAUUGGGGGAUUGUUGAUCCUACACGUGAAAUGGGAGUUAAGAGAAACCCAAAGACUGUAAUGACCUGUAAAGACUUAAUGAUUUGUAUUGUAUAGUGAACUAAACUUCUGUAAUUUUGUACCUUAUAUGCCUUCCCACCAUAUGACCAACAGCCUUUAAAUAAAACCAGAUGAUCUCUUGCCUA
Molecule: non-coding RNA, 536 nt
Organism: Odocoileus virginianus texanus
Lineage: Eukaryota; Metazoa; Chordata; Mammalia; Artiodactyla; Cervidae
Source: RefSeq, a predicted model, not a curated record